CCUACGGGAGGCAGCAGUAAGGAAUAUUGGUCAAUGGCCGAAAGGCUGAUCCAGCCAUGCCGCGUGUGUGAAGAAGGUCUUCGGAUUGUAAAGCACUUUAAGUUGGGAGGAAGGGCAGUAAAUUAAUACUUUGCUGUUUUGACGUUACCGACAGAAUAAGCACCGGCUAACUCUGUGCCGGCAGCCGCGGUAAUACAGAGGGUGUAAGCGUUAAUCGGAAUUACUGGGCGUAAAGCGCGCGUAGGUGGUUCGUUAAGUUGGAGGUGAAAUCCCCGGGCUCAACCUGGGAACUGCAUUCAAAACUGACGAGCUAGAGUAUGGUAGAGGGUGGUGAAAUUUCCUGUGUAGCGGUGAAAUGCGUAGAUAUAGGAAGGAACACCAGUGGCGAGG
RNAcentral lists this ribosomal RNA (390 nucleotides) under uncultured Pseudomonadaceae bacterium. Its description in RNAcentral is "partial 16S ribosomal RNA". It matches the Rfam family "Bacterial small subunit ribosomal RNA", at positions 338 to 720 of the family's 1533-position model. Lineage: Bacteria; Pseudomonadati; Pseudomonadota; Gammaproteobacteria; Pseudomonadales; Pseudomonadaceae. The record is from RNAcentral.